GGAUUAGGCAUGCAAGUCGAGCGCGAUUCCCGCAAGGGAGGAAAGCGGCGAAAGGGAGAGGAACACGUGGAUUAUCUACCCUCCGGCCUGGGAUAGCUACGGGAAACUGUAGGUAAUACCAGAUGACGUCUUCGGACCAAAGGUGUGAUUCCACCGGGGGAUGAGUUCGCGUCCUAUUAGCUUGUUGGUGGGGUAACGGCCCACCAAGGCCAUGAUGGGUACCGGGUGUGAGAGCAUGGCCCGGCUCACUGGGACUGAGACACUGCCCAGACACCUACGGGUGGUUGCAGUCGAGAAUCUUCGGCAAUGGGCGCAAGCCUGACCGAGCGACGCCGCGUGCGGGAUGAAGGCCCUUGGGUUGUAAACCGCUGUCAGAGGGGAUGAAAUGCGGGUGGGUUCUCCCAUCCGUUUGACAUAGCCUCAGAGGAAGCACGGGCUAAGUUCGUGCCAGCAGCCGCGGUAAUA
RNAcentral lists this ribosomal RNA (465 nucleotides) under uncultured bacterium. RNAcentral's name for it is "bacterial SSU rRNA". It matches the Rfam family "Bacterial small subunit ribosomal RNA", at positions 46 to 525 of the family's 1533-position model. The record is from RNAcentral.